Molecule: long non-coding RNA, 208 nt
Organism: Rhineura floridana
Lineage: Eukaryota; Metazoa; Chordata; Lepidosauria; Squamata; Rhineuridae
Exons: 3
Source: RefSeq, a predicted model, not a curated record
GGAGGAAUCCUGAAGGAAUUAGUUUAGCCCAGAGGGCAUUCAAGAAGCCAAGAAGCCACUGAAUGUCUCUACAGAUUCACAAAGGAACACCUAUAGUCCAAAGUAGGACACUCAGAUCGAAACUUGACUGACAGAAGAAACUCACUUAAGGUCGGCCAAACAGCCAUUUUGCAGAAAUUCCCAUAAAGCGUACCUGGAGAUACAUGCA